AUGGGAUCUGCACUGUUGUCGAUGGUGCGGAUGAUGAAGCCGAAGAAGGACGGCGCGCCGCCCGCCUUCGUGCACGACCUGCACCGCGAGUACCAAAUUCUCCAGGAACGCUCCGUGUGCGGGUGCGGCAGCCAAUCGCUGCCGCACCACGGGACGACGGCGACUCCUUGCCGCCAGCGCACCGAAGAGGAGCGCGACGCCUCCAUCAUCUGCCACGUCCACCUCGCUCUCCGUCACUACAACGCCACCAACCCGGGCUCGGAGUUCGUUCCCGUCAAGCCUCUCAUGGCCGCGUACGUGGGUUUCCAAAGCCACAUCUGGGUCCACGUGGGCUUCGUGGCUCACAGGAAGAAGAUCGCCAGCAGCAAACGGAGGCGGAACCAGGCCAACGACACGGACAAGACCUUCUUCGCGGAGCUGCGCUACAGCCACCACUCCGGCGCGCCGGCCGUCGAAACAUGCACCAUCAUCGAGAAGUCGUCGCGCAAAAGCCACUUAAAAACCGCGUGUGCAUUUUGCCCCGAAAGCUUUCAGAUUUUGCACCCACUUGACGGAAGCUUCCUGUGCGGAAAGAAGAGCCAGGCAAACGAAGGGCAGGGUUUCAUACAUUUCACGAACCUGCUUGAGUUACCGUUCACAUGCCCCAUGGCCAGUGGACAAGGCAAGGAGGAUGCGGCAGCCCCAGAGGAGGAGGAGGAGCAUAGUAGCGUCCUAAGCUGGGCCGCCCUCCCCUUUCUUCUCGGUUAUCUUUGCCGGUCUUUGAUGAUAAGCAUCUGGACUAGAUCAGGGGCAAAGCUAGCGAGAAGUUAA
Molecule: ribosomal RNA, 810 nt
Filed under: Triticum aestivum (bread wheat)
Lineage: Eukaryota; Viridiplantae; Streptophyta; Magnoliopsida; Poales; Poaceae
Description: partial small subunit ribosomal RNA
Source: RNAcentral